Molecule: ribosomal RNA, 253 nt
Filed under: uncultured bacterium
Lineage: Bacteria
Description: partial 16S ribosomal RNA
Rfam family: Bacterial small subunit ribosomal RNA
Source: RNAcentral
UACGUAGGGUGCGAGCGUUAAUCGGAAUUACUGGGCGUAAAGGGUGCGCAGGCGGUUGCGCAAGUCAGGCGUGAAAUCCCCGGGCUUAACCUGGGAAUGGCGCUUGAAACUACGCGACUAGAGUGUGGCAGAGGGAGGUGGAAUUCCACGUGUAGCGGUGAAAUGCGUAGAGAUGUGGAGGAACACCGAUGGCGAAGGCAGCCUCCUGGGUCAACACUGACGCUCAUGCACGAAAGCGUGGGGAGCAAACAGG